AAUAGAUACCCUGGUAGUCCACGCCGUAAAUGGUGAGUGCUAAGUGUUAGGGGGUUUCCGCCCCUUAGUGCUGCAGCUAACGCAUUAAGCACUCCGCCUGGGGAGUACGGUCGCAAGACUGAAACUCAAAGGAAUUGACGGGGGCCCGCACAAGCGGUGGAGCAUGUGGUUUAAUUCAAAGCAACGCGAAGAACCUUACCAGGUCUUGACAUCCCAUUGACCGCUAUGGAGACAUAGUUUUCCCUUCGGGGACAGUGGUGACAGGUGGUGCAUGGUUGUCGUCAGCUCGUGUCGUGAGAUGUUGGGUUAAGUCCCGCAACGAGCGCAACCCUUGUUCUUAGUUGCCAUCAUUUAGUUGGGCACUCUAAGGAGACUGCCGGUGACAAACCGGAGGAAGGUGGGGAUGACGUCAAAUCAUCAUGCCCCUUAUGACCUGGGCUACACACGUGCUACAAUGGACGGUACAAACGGUUGCCAACCCGCGAGGGGGAGCUAAUCCGAUAAAACCGUUCUCAGUUCGGAUUGUAGGCUGCAACUCGCCUAC
Molecule: ribosomal RNA, 544 nt
Filed under: uncultured bacterium
Lineage: Bacteria
Description: bacterial SSU rRNA
Rfam family: Bacterial small subunit ribosomal RNA
Source: RNAcentral